UCGGGAAUUUUGGGCAAUGGGCGAAAGCCUGACCCAGCAACGCCGCGUGAAGGAUGAAGUAUUUCGGUAUGUAAACUUCGAAAGAAUAGGAAGAAGAAAUGACGGUACUAUUUAUAAGGUCCGGCUAACUACGUGCCAGCAGCCGCGGUAAUACGUAGGGACCAAGCGUUGUUCGGAUUUACUGGGCGUAAAGGGCGCGUAGGCGGCUUGUCAAGUCACUUGUGAAAUCUCCGAGCUUAACUCGGAACGGUCAAGUGAAACUGUCAGGCUAGAGUGCAGAAGGGGCAAUCGGAAUUCUUGGUGUAGCGGUGAAAUGCGUAGAUAUCAAGAGGAACACCUGAGGUGAAGACGGGUUGCUGGGCUGACACUGACGCUGAGGCGCGAAAGCUAGGGGAGCAAACG
RNAcentral lists this ribosomal RNA (402 nucleotides) under uncultured Acidobacterium sp. RNAcentral describes it as "bacterial SSU rRNA". It matches the Rfam family "Bacterial small subunit ribosomal RNA", at positions 355 to 774 of the family's 1533-position model. Lineage: Bacteria; Pseudomonadati; Acidobacteriota; Terriglobia; Terriglobales; Acidobacteriaceae. The record is from RNAcentral.